UGAAAACUCAGAAGAUGGCGCACAGAAU
RNAcentral lists this non-coding RNA (28 nucleotides) under Mus musculus (house mouse). Lineage: Eukaryota; Metazoa; Chordata; Mammalia; Rodentia; Muridae. The record is from RNAcentral.